RNAcentral lists this ribosomal RNA (254 nucleotides) under uncultured bacterium. RNAcentral describes it as "partial 16S ribosomal RNA". It matches the Rfam family "Bacterial small subunit ribosomal RNA", at positions 524 to 776 of the family's 1533-position model. The record is from RNAcentral.
UACGGAGGGUGCGAGCGUUGUCCGGAAUCAUUGGGCGUAAAGGGCGCGUAGGUGGCCACUUCAAGCGUGCGGUGAAAGUCGGGGGCUCAACCCCUGAUCGGCCGUGCGAACUGGGGGGCUGGAGCACUGUAGAGGCAGGCGGAAUUCCGGGUGUAGCGGUGGAAUGCGUAGAGAUCCGGAAGAACACCGGUGGCGAAGGCGGCCUGCUGGGCAGUAGCUGACGCUGAUGCGCGACAGCGUGGGGAGCAAACAGG